UCCAUAUAUGUUUUUGAUUGCUUUGUGGCUGGGGGAAUAUUGUGAAUGCUUUUAUUGAGCUUCAUGAUUGGGUUGCUUCUAGCUCCUCUGGAUCCAUAAGGGAUUGCAUUCUACUUGGAGCUUGUGAAGCACAUGAGACUCUUCCACAAAGUGCUGAAUUUCCUACAGAUGUGUUUACGUCUUGUCUCACAACACCUAUUAAGAUGGCUUUGAGAUGGUGAGCUUCUUUUCUUGUUCGUCUGUUAGGAUCGCCUAUCGCGUUUAUGCAUCUUUAUUUGAGAUCAUGUAGUUUUCUGGUUUUGCCUUGUGGUGUUUAUUCCAUAUUGGCUGCUUCCUAGUUAUUUUUAGUUUGUCAACUGAAAGUCUUUUAGCUGUGCUAUUUGUUUAAAGCUGUAGGAAGUUAGAAAUGGCAUGGUAUUUAAAACACAGAGAAAUCAAUCCUUAUUCCUAAAUCCAACUUGACUGAUGCCUUGUGACGUGAUUGGCUUGAAUAGAUGCUUUGAAAUAUACACAAGUUAGCUAAUCUCUGCCUCUAUUUUGGGCAGUGAAUGCUUUUUCUUAUGAGACUAAAUUUUUUUUUGUUGUAUUUUAAGUUGUGGAUAAUAAUUGGUUUUUAUUUUUUAAGAUAACAAUUGGUUUUUGUGUUGUGGAUCAUUAGAUCUUUUUUAUUAACAUAAGGAUGUAAUAUUUGCUUCUACAUUUACUAUCAUUCUAGUCAUAGAAAUUUAGUAUAGUUGAGUUACAAGUUUAAUUGUUUUGCACCUAUAAGGGCUCUAUAGCCCAUGCUUGCAAACUAGAAGUGACAUCAGGGAAAUAGUGUUUGAAGUGUUUGUUGAUAAGGAAGUUUUAUACUGUAUUUAAGAUGAAUCUGAAUCUACUUUUCAUGAGGCUUUUCUUAGUCAUCUUAUGGAAACUGGUGCAAUAGAAAGUUCAUCUUUAUGUGACCUUCCUAAACAGAUGGAAGGUGAUCAACAGAGAGCCUCUGAACAGACUAAGAACAUCUUCAGUAAUUUAGUUGCUGCUGUUGACAAUUUGUGGUAUCUAAAAGAUGGAAUACAUACUGUAGUCUUGAAAAAACUUUCAGAAAAUGGUAAGAGCUAUGUGGGUUUUACAGUUUUAUUUUUGUAUGAUACUUCAAGCACUGAUCUGUAGACUUAUCUCAGUUUUUGGUGGAUCCUACUCCAUUUUCUAGGAUCUUGCAGGCAAAGGACACCAAGUGAAUUAGAUAGAGAGGUUAAGAACUUGAGGGUGACAUUUACUGACCUGUUUUUGAAGCAUAACACUUUCAAAGAAACUGCAAAGCCAUCGAGAUAUUGAUGCAAAGAAUAAAGCCGAGCUUAGAAUAUUAAGAGGUAACUCCUAGUGAGCGGAGAGAAGGCACUUCAACUUGGAUUGCAAGUAAUUGCAAAGAUUAAGGGCUAUGCUGAUGCAGCUCAGGCACCUGAAUUCUUUACAACUGCUCCAGCCCUUGUGAUACCAAAAGCUAUUUCAAAUGUUGGUUUAGAUGCUUCUCAGAUUGAUUACUAUGAAAUAAAUGAAGCAUUUUCUGUAAGAUUUUAGUACUUGUAAUCCCUAUAAUGUUCCUGAUUUAGUAAGCAUUUUUUUUUCAUUCA
Long non-coding RNA from Humulus lupulus (European hop), 1613 nucleotides. RefSeq lists it as uncharacterized. NCBI's taxonomy places the organism in Eukaryota, Viridiplantae, Streptophyta, Magnoliopsida, Rosales, Cannabaceae. The record is from RefSeq and is a predicted model, not a curated record. The transcript is spliced from 3 exons.